UGGACAUUUCAUAUGCAAAAGAUGCUUUCUGUAAAAGUCAGUUAUGAGUUUUUUAGAAAAGGCUGUGAGAUAGAAAGGAUGUGAGCUUUGAUGCCCGAAGAUUAUUUAAUUCUUGCUGUAUCUCUAAAUCCUUCAUAUUCUUUUGGUCAGGAAGAGUGAAGUCUUAAAUGUAGACUGCUUUUUGCCUUUGGAAGCAAUUUUCUCUUGUGCAUUUAAGCUGCAUCUUUGAUUGCAAAUGCAUUGAAAACUUGCUUUACAUUUGAAGAAGAGGUCUUUGUUCUCAGCAGAAAGUGAUAGAAUUCAAAAUACCCUCAUUUUUAGUUAGGUACGAAUAUUGUAUUGCUCUUAGAUGGUAAGGAAAAAGCAGCAUUGGAUUUACUGCAUAAUUAAUAUUUGCAUCUGAAUGUAUUUUAGUAUUUACCAUCUGAAAAAAAAUGUAGAAAGGAGAAUGAAGGCUAUGUAGUUCUCAGCCUUCCUACUUGUAUUCAGUAGGAAGACUCGUGGGAUUAAGUAGUUUCAUAAAGCUUCUCUGAGUAGUCCUCUUUCUUUCUAAACAUCUGAUUUAAUUUGUGUGCUGUGAAUCCUAGAACAGUUUUAGUCUCUAGUUUAGUUAGAUUUCUCCCAAGGUACUUGUGACAUGGCUUCCCCCUGUGGAAUGAUCUUCUGGAAGCUGACAUUUUAGAGAUGUGGGUGACAUGGGAAAAUCAGAUUUAAAGUCAAGUGUUAGUCACUCUAGGUUGCAAGUACAGUCAAUGGGGAGAAAUAAGCACGUCCUGGAAGUUGAUAUCUGUCUUGUUUUAGUAAGGUGAGUAAAGAGCUGUGCCUAUAUUGAAGUGCUUUAUUUAAUGAGAUGAGUAGGCGCAAACUACCUGUGGCUACAAGCAUUGAGGUGGCCCAGUUCCUCUCUGCAGUCUGUUGCAAGUGCUCCCAGUUCCUGAGUCUGUGCUCCUCUGUCAUCAACAUUUGGAAGGGUGUCCUGUUUAGGCUCAGGCAUGGUGAUUGCUUCCUUCCUUCCAUUGGACGUUUAACGCUAAGUGGACCCCAGGAUCUGAAUACCAGAGUCAAAAACAUACAGAGUAGUCCUCAGUACUUAUAUCUGUUCUUCAAAAGGUGGCUAUUGUAAUCUCUCUGCAAAACAAAAAUGUAACUGCUUUGCAAGGUUACUUUAAUGACAGAAAUUCAUCUGAAGUACAUCCCUUGCUAGCUAAGCCUGUUUGUCAUGGUGACUGAGAAGUUUCUUAAUUUAUAACUGGGCAAAGUCCAUCUAAGCCUCUGCGUGUUCCAGAAUUACACAUUUCAUAGAGCAGUCAGGAUGACAUCCUUAGGGAUGAAGUAAAUUCUGGUUUAUGCACCAUAGUAAAAAAAAAAAAAAAAGGCCUUUGGCUCUAAUUUCUUUCCCUUGCUUUUUGAAAAUAGAGAAAUAGAGGAGAAAACACACAGGAAAGAUAUUUAUAGGCUGUGGAGUUUCCAUCACUUGGUCAGUACAGACUGAACCUUCCUAACCUCAUCGAAUCUAGGAUAGAGCCUUCUGUUUCUUUCCUAACACUGUUUCGUGUUGUCCAAGCAGUGCUUUGACAUCCAGUGAUGCCCGAAUCUGAGUGUAUGGGGAGAACUUCUGGGAGAUAGAAAGGACGGGAGCUGCAAGAGACUACUUCAGAAGUGCUAUCAAAACCUGUGCUGUACUAUUUGUAUGUGUGUGAAAUGCAUUUUUUUAAUAACUUCAGAUUACAGUUCUUCCUUUGGCACUUCCUUUUGUAGUCUGGAUUUAACAUUUCUACUUUAAAUACCAAUCUUUAAUACUACAGGCUUUUAACAUAUUCCUGUGUCACCAAACUGAGCUGUCAUAAGAAAUGCUGGGAAAUAACAAAACUCUCUUCCUGUCCAUAUUCUUUGCAAACUAAUGGCUUACAUAUUUUUAAACUUUUGUAAACUUUUUAGAAGAUGGAUGCCUACACUCUUUUAUCUUGUUUGUUUACAUUUUUCUCUUAACUUUACAAUGGCAUUGCAAAGGAGAGAUUGUUUUUAAAGGGCAUUUUUACUUUAAUUCAAGUUUCUAGUUGUUGUUCAGGUAAAUUUUAUACUCUAAAUCUUUGUCAAAAACAUAGAGAAAAGAAGGCAGCAAUACCUUCUCUCCCAUCAUUUAAUCCUGUGGAAUGACUCCAGUAUAAAUUACAGAGCACUGCACAGCCAGAAUGAUCUCACUUGGCGAAGUUCUCCACCAGUAACUUGAUGUUGGAGUAACUUCUUGACUGUAGAGUAAGGCAUGCAGCAUGUCUCCCAUUUGCUGGAUCCUCUUUUUGUACUGCAGAAACCUGAAGGAGAUCAGGGUUAUUCUUGUGCAAGUUAAUCCAGGGGAAGCAUUUACAAUAAGAAGAGAAGAUGGACAAUUUCAGUGCAUUACAGGAUAAAUGAAUGAAGAUGACUCAUCUUAAGCACAUUUCAUAACAGUCCCAAGUUGCAGCUAAGGGCUAUUAAAUGUUACUUGACAUAAUAAGAGAGACAAUGUUAUAUAUGCCUCUGCAAAGGAAGAUGGCCAUUUUUAUAAUAAAAUAAGAAAAUAUAUGUAAAUUAGAAUGAGUCAUGAAUACUUCAUGUUUUAAAAUGAAACCGAGUAUUGGCGUUAAGGUUAGUCGCUAGGAUCACAGAAUCACAGAAUUGUAGGGGUUGGAAGGGACCUCUAGAGGUCAUCGAGACCAACCCCCCUGCCAAAG
Meleagris gallopavo (turkey) is the source of this 2711-nucleotide non-coding RNA. Lineage: Eukaryota; Metazoa; Chordata; Aves; Galliformes; Phasianidae. The record is from RefSeq and is a predicted model, not a curated record.